GGGGAUGACCGGCUUCGAUAGGAAGCUGAAACUUAAAAUUGCUGAUCGAGUAUUCUAAAACCUCGUAAAACUUUUAGAAUCAAACUUAAGUGCCAAAACACUUAUUGGUAAAGUUAAGUCUGCAGUAGCGCAAGCUUUUGCAGUUCCUAGCUUUGCUGCCGCCGUAGCCUAAUAUUACUCGGCCACAAGCCAAGUUGAAGGUUCACGACCCAUCAGACCGAUAACUCCUAAUAGUCGGUUAUCUGGUGUCAUUAAUUAGGAUAGGUGGAUUCUCCCGGCUCCGAGCUUUCACCGAAAAGACCGAGCAUAAGAUCUUUGUAUUCUUGUUUGUUCACUAACCAAAGAUCCGAAAAACAACGAACAGACUACAUCAGUAGAUAAUUUUAAGGUUUUCUUUCUAGACGCGGGUUCAAUUCCCGCCAUCUCCACCC
RNAcentral lists this transfer-messenger RNA (431 nucleotides) under bacterium. It matches the Rfam family "transfer-messenger RNA". Rfam says of the family: Bacterial tmRNA, also known as 10Sa RNA or SsrA, is named for its dual tRNA and mRNA-like properties. The record is from RNAcentral.